This 200-nucleotide ribosomal RNA is filed under the name uncultured bacterium. RNAcentral's name for it is "partial 16S ribosomal RNA". It matches the Rfam family "Bacterial small subunit ribosomal RNA", at positions 8 to 199 of the family's 1533-position model. The record is from RNAcentral.
AGAGUUUGAUCCUGGCUCAGGACGAACGCUGGCGGUGUGCUUCACACAUGCAAGUCGAACGAGUGACUUUCGUGUAGCAAUACAUGGAAGAAGCUAGUGGCGGACGGGUGAGUAACGCGUAGGAAUCUGCCUUCAGAUGGGGGAUAGCAGGCCGAAAGGCCUAUUAAUACCGCAUACGCGUAUAUCUCGACAGGGAUAUA